This 279-nucleotide ribosomal RNA is filed under the name uncultured bacterium. Its description in RNAcentral is "partial 16S ribosomal RNA". It matches the Rfam family "Bacterial small subunit ribosomal RNA", at positions 506 to 784 of the family's 1533-position model. The record is from RNAcentral.
UGCCAGCCGCCGCGGUAAUACGGAGGGUACGAACGUUAAUCGGAAUUACUGGGCGUAAAGCGCGCGUAGGCGGCACGGUAAGUGGGAUGUGAAAGCCCCGGGCUCAACCUGGGAACUGCAUUCCAAACUGCCGCGCUAGAGUAUGGUAGAGGGAGGUAGAAUUUCCUGUGUAGCGGUGAAAUGCGUAGAUAUAGGAAGGAAUACCGGUGGCGAAGGCGGCCUCCUGGACCAAUACUGACGCUGAGGUGCGAAAGCGUGGGGAGCAAACAGGAUUAGAUA